RNAcentral lists this transfer RNA (85 nucleotides) under Mycolicibacterium chlorophenolicum. Its description in RNAcentral is "tRNA-Ile". The record is from RNAcentral. Lineage: Bacteria; Bacillati; Actinomycetota; Actinomycetes; Mycobacteriales; Mycobacteriaceae.
GUCGGCGCCGCGGGCGGACCACCCGGGGUUGAUGCUCUCGGGGACGACGAGAAUGCGUGUCGCGUCCGACGGCGCGACGUCGACC